UCAUCCUCCACCCCCUGAAAUAACCAUUCCUACCUUAUGGAAGGCUUUGCAUCACAUUUUCCCCACUAGAACUUCUCUGACAUCCCAGAAGACAGGCUUCUAUUCAAACAGCAGUUUUUCUCUGUAAAACUGAAGUGGCGUUUUGGGGGCAGAGAAUCAAGUAUCAGUUCUCUUGUUGUCUUGUGCAGUUAUUUAAAUUUUUUAUCUUCUUUGCACUUUCAUGUGCUGAUUUCCUGUCUCUUGAUCUGUCUUGCAAGCUCCUGGGGGCGAAGACUGUGUCCCAGACUGCCUCCUCCUCCCUCCCCCAUACACACUCUCUCCUCCUCCUACACGGACUGUUCCAGCUCUUGGCUCAUUUCUCAUGCAAAUAUAGGAUGCCUAACAAUUGUUUUGGGGACAAGAAUAUCUGAUCCACAAAGCAGGCAUGCAGACAGCAGUAUUCUAGCGAGUGUGUUCUGUCACUCAGUCCUCGCUCCAGUGCUCUGCAAACAGUUCCUGCAGAAAUCAUGGCGAAACUGGAACCUCCCACCUGUUCUAAGUGUCUGGAGGUACAGAAGGUUAAAGAAGAAAGAAUAGAUGUGUGAGGAAAAAAUUGCACGAACAACUCUGGGACUAUAUUAGUUGAUUUUUUAAGUCAGAAACUUCUGAGAUGGUUUUCCACCUGGAAGUGGACAGAGUACUAUGCUAGAGAAUUUGCAUAGCUCAUCCUGACUGAAUUCUUACUCUGCCUGAUGUCUUCAACCACAAACUGCAUUGCAAUACAAGGCUGUCUACUGUGUGAGAAUACCUUGGAAAUCUCACUGAACAUCACAGGAGGCUGUAAGUUCUGACUAAAUUGCGAUUGUAAUCCUCCCCAGAUCUUAGAGAAACAUAUUCCAUUUUAUUUAGUAGCCCCUUAAACAUACAAGGAUGUUCAUUGGGAGGACUGAUGUUGAAGCUGAAACUCCAAUACUUUAGCCACCUGAUGUGAAGAGCUGACUCAUUUGAAAAGACCCUGAUGCUGGGAAAGAUUGAGGGCAGGAGGAAAAGGGGAUGACAGAGGAUGAGAUGGUUGGAUGGCAUCACCAACUCAAUGGACAUGGGUUUGAGUAGACUCUGGGAGUUGAUGAUGGACAGGGAGGCCUGUCAUGCUGCAGUUCAUGGGGUCACAAAGAGUCGGACACAACUGAGCGACUGAACUGAACUGAACUAGACUUAAACAUACCAGACUAAUAAUGAACUUUUAAGCUCACUAUACAUUAAAAAAUAUCAAAAAUUUAAAGUAUUUUGAAAUUAUUGAACAUGGGCUUCCCCAGUGGCUCAGAAGUAAAGAAUCUACCUGAUAAUGCAGGAUACGUGAGUUUGAUCCGUGGGUCAGGAAGAUGCCCUGGAGAAGGGAAGGGUAACCCAUUCCAGUAUUCUUGCCUGGAGAAUCCCAUGGACAGAGGAGCCUGCUGGGCCACAUACAGUCCAUGGGGUCACAAACACUCAGAUACCACUGAGCGACUAAACAACAAUUUAAUGUAAUGAUCUUUGAAGAACUGUGGUAUACAUCAAAGACAUGUAUAGAAGCUAUUUUCAAAAGCUGAUCUUACCC
Bos indicus x Bos taurus (hybrid cattle) is the source of this 1576-nucleotide long non-coding RNA. Lineage: Eukaryota; Metazoa; Chordata; Mammalia; Artiodactyla; Bovidae. The record is from Ensembl.